AUGACGGUACUGACAGAAGAAGCACCGGCUAACUCCGUGCCAGCAGCCGCGGUAAUACGGAGGGUGCGAGCGUUAAUCGGAAUUACUGGGCGUAAAGCGUGCGCAGGCGGUAAGAUAAGCCAGAUGUGAAAUCCCCGGGCUCAACCUGGGAACUGCAUUUGGAACUGGCAAACUAGAGUGUGAUAGAGGGUGGUAGAAUUUCAGGUGUAGCGGUGAAAUGCGCUUAUAGGAAGGAACACCGAUGGCGAAGGCAGCCACCCUGGGUCAACACUGACGCUCAUGCASGAAGU
This 290-nucleotide ribosomal RNA is filed under the name bacterium AV-Te-26. Its description in RNAcentral is "partial 16S ribosomal RNA". It matches the Rfam family "Bacterial small subunit ribosomal RNA", at positions 469 to 759 of the family's 1533-position model. The record is from RNAcentral.